UCCUCCGUAGCUCAAUGGCAGAGCAUUCGGCUGUUAACCGAAAGGUUACUGGUUCGAGUCCAGUCGGAGGAG
RNAcentral lists this transfer RNA (72 nucleotides) under Saccharopolyspora galaxeae. Its description in RNAcentral is "tRNA-Asn". It matches the Rfam family "tRNA". Rfam says of the family: Transfer RNA (tRNA) molecules are approximately 80 nucleotides in length. Their secondary structure includes four short double-helical elements and three loops (D, anti-codon, and T loops). Further hydrogen bonds mediate the characteristic L-shaped molecular structure. tRNAs have two regions of fundamental functional importance: the anti-codon, which is responsible for specific mRNA codon recognition, and the 3' end, to which the tRNAs corresponding amino acid is attached (by aminoacyl-tRNA synthetases). tRNAs cope with the degeneracy of the genetic code in two manners: having more than one tRNA (with a specific anti-codon) for a particular amino acid; and 'wobble' base-pairing, i.e. permitting non-standard base-pairing at the 3rd anti-codon position. The record is from RNAcentral. Lineage: Bacteria; Bacillati; Actinomycetota; Actinomycetes; Pseudonocardiales; Pseudonocardiaceae. RNAcentral also lists the same sequence under 1 other name.